GACGAACGCUGGCGGCGUGCUUAACACAUGCAAGUCGAGCGGUAAGGCCCUUUCGGGGGUACACGAGCGGCGAACGGGUGAGUAACACGUGGGUGACCUGCCCUCAGCUCUGGGAUAAGCCCGGGAAACUGGGUCUAAUACCGGAUAUGACUCCAUGACGCAUGUUGUGGGGUGGAAAGCCUUGUGCGGCUGAGGAUGGGCCCGCGGCCUAUCAGCUUGUUGGUGGGGUGANGGCCUACCAAGGCGACGACGGGUAGCCGGCCUGAGAGGGCGACCGGCCACACUGGGACUGAGACACGGGCCCAGACUCCUACGGGAGGCAGCAGGUGGGGAAUCUUGCGCAAUGGGCGAAAGCCUGACGCAGCGACGCCGCGUGAGGGAUGACGGCC
This 389-nucleotide ribosomal RNA is filed under the name uncultured bacterium. Its description in RNAcentral is "bacterial SSU rRNA". It matches the Rfam family "Bacterial small subunit ribosomal RNA", at positions 28 to 416 of the family's 1533-position model. The record is from RNAcentral.